GUUUGUGUGUGUAACGUGGAUGUGUCUUUGGGUGGGAAAGUUUUUAAUGCAGAGUUUACUGUCCUUCCUCGCUCCUCGCAUGACUUGAUUCUGGGGAUUGACUUUUUGCAAUUGUGUGGUGCGAAUGUUGACUGCCGGACGGGAGAACUCAGUGUCGACACCAGUGUUUCGCCUGUGCUCUUUGAAGGUGCAGCUUGCCCUGAGAGUGUGUUGUGCGUGUCUGAGGAUACAGUUGUGCCCGCCUUAUCCGCGAUGCGUGUUGCCGUCGCCUGUUCAUCUCCGACUCCUAUCUCGUUCGAUGCUGCAGUGGAACCUGUACAUCGGAA
RNAcentral lists this long non-coding RNA (326 nucleotides) under Dermacentor andersoni. Its description in RNAcentral is "uncharacterized LOC126539496". Lineage: Eukaryota; Metazoa; Arthropoda; Arachnida; Ixodida; Ixodidae. The record is from RNAcentral.